UGGGGAAUAUUGGACAAUGGGCGCAAGCCUGAUCCAGCCAUGCCGCGUGAGUGAUGAAGGCCCUAGGGUUGUAAAGCUCUUUCACCGGUGAAGAUAAUGACGGUAACCGGAGAAGAAGCCCCGGCUAACUUCGUGCCAGCAGCCGCGGUAAUACGAAGGGGGCUAGCGUUGUUCGGAUUUACUGGGCGUAAAGCGCACGUAGGCGGACUUUUAAGUCAGGGGUGAAAUCCCGGGGCUCAACCCCGGAACUGCCUUUGAUACUGGAAGUCUUGAGUAUGGUAGAGGUGAGUGGAAUUCCGAGUGUAGAGGUGAAAUUCGUAGAUAUUCGGAGGAACACCAGUGGCGAAGGCGGCUCACCGGACCAUUACUGACGCUGAGGUGCGAAAGCGUGGGGAGCAAACAGG
This 404-nucleotide ribosomal RNA is filed under the name Brucella melitensis. Its description in RNAcentral is "partial 16S ribosomal RNA". It matches the Rfam family "Bacterial small subunit ribosomal RNA", at positions 355 to 776 of the family's 1533-position model. RNAcentral also lists the same sequence under 2 other names. The record is from RNAcentral. Lineage: Bacteria; Pseudomonadati; Pseudomonadota; Alphaproteobacteria; Hyphomicrobiales; Brucellaceae.